This 11499-nucleotide long non-coding RNA is filed under the name Triticum aestivum (bread wheat). RNAcentral describes it as "long non-coding RNA (TAES_LNC027855)". Lineage: Eukaryota; Viridiplantae; Streptophyta; Magnoliopsida; Poales; Poaceae. The record is from RNAcentral.
GGGAAAGUAUACCUGAACAUGAGGUCUUCUUUGAGAUUAGGAAGCAUUGUGGAGGAAUGGCCUAACUAACAAGAUUCGGUGCUACUUUAUGUUUUACAGUGUGCGAUAUGGAUGGCUAGGUGGUCGUAAGGAUGGUCUUGGUAAACAAUUGUCUGAUGAUCUUGAGUUAAGUCGAUCUCUGAAUCCUAUUUGCUUGAAAUAUCUGAAUUUGCAUGUUAUUGUCUCUGAACAAUUAAUCUGUCGCCCGCCUUAUCAGCACUAGUGCAGAACCGGGCAAUAGCACCGGUUCGUAAGACCCUUUAGUGCCGGUUCCAUAACCGGCACUAAAGUGUGGGCACUAAAGCCCCCCCCCCCUUUAGUACCGGUUCAGCACGAACCGGUGCUAAAGGGCAACCAUGUGGCACGAGCCAGCUCCGGAGGCCUGGAGCCCUUUAGUAUCGGUUGGUAAGACCAACCGGUACAAUAAGGUUUGGGGGAUUUUUAGUUUUAUGAUUUCUUUUUCAUUUAAUUUUGUGUUUCCAUUUUAAUUCUUUUUCGUUUGCUGGUAUUUUACGAUACUACACAUUGUACACGUUAUGUAUAUAUAUAUAUAUAUAUAUAUAUAUAUAUAUAUAUAUAUAUAGAAUUUCUAGUAGAACCAAUCAUGCAUAUAUAUAUCAUCAAUGUCUCACAAACCACCAUAUUAAUUAAUUCACACAUACACACAUGUAUAGCUAUAUACAAUUUCUCCUACAUAUGCAUGUUGCCUUCGGAGCCAGUGGCAUUAAUCUAAUUGGUGCCUUCGGAGCACGAUGACAAUUGGAAGUGGUUUUCAUGGGGGCGGUAGCGGGUAAUAGUAUUCUCCCUUCGGAUUUAUGACCUGGUCGAGCAAAAAUCCCGCUAUUUCCUCCUGAAGUGCUUCUACGCACUCCGUUUCUAGGAGCUUCUCCCGCACCUCUUUGAACUGUUAAGAAGGAGAUCAAUAUGCAUGUGUAUUAGUUGUGUGACUAGAUAUCAAUAAUGGUGUAAAAAUUGUGAAUAGUGUUCUAACAAGCGUACCCAUUCCUGUCUUUGAGAUCUGCUCCUUUCGGACGCCAUCAUGCGAAUGUUCUCGCAAACGCAGAAUACAUACAGAUCAGUCCCCUGCGCCUGCUUCAGGGCCUUUACCAGAAUGGAAUUUGAUCAGAUAAUAAUUAAUCAAGCAUGAUAAUUAAAGAGAUGGUAGCUAUCUAGCUAGCUAGUACUACUUAAUUACUUACCUUGGGUUGAAACCAUUUAAGCUUUUUUUCCAUUCGCCUUCCGUGCCGCUGAUGAACCUUGCCCAAGCCCUGCCCGCCGACAAAGAAAAUGAAUAAAGGGGUUAUUAAAUAGUUCAUAUCAUGCAAUGACGAACUAAAUAGGCCAAGAUAUAUAGUUAAUAAUGAUUGAAAUUACCUGUUGGCUAUCCCAAACAAGAUGUUAUAGUCAGUAUUUGCUUUGAGUAGUGAGUCCAGUAUUUCAACUGUUCCGGCAUCAACUUUAAUGAUACACAAGAUCCAGUGAAAUAUGCAUGCACACACGUUUGCAUGUCUUAAUUAAGCGGGCAUAUGUAAGCAAAAACAUGUAGCUAGCUAGUAGGCAAAAAUAGAGAAUUUGUAGUACAAGACAGUGUGACUCACUGGAAGUUGUAAGGAAGUAGUAUAUCUUCGUUGUAUUUGAGGUGCUUCAAGAACUCUAGCAUGUUGUCCUCUACGGCCUUUUCAUGAUGUGGAUUUAUUAGCCAUGUGUAUUCAUUAAUGGUAUUGGGGUCAAUGAACCCAAUGCCAAAGCGUCCACCUUUUCUCAUUUCAUACAUCUUUAUCCUGCAUAAUGCCACAGAAAAGAAUAUAGUGAGGAUAAUUACAGGUAAUGAUUGAUCAAAAGGAUCACUACAGCUAGCUUGAGACUUAAAUUACAAAAAGAAAUCACUUAUAGACAAUAGCAACUGACGAUAGAUUUGUCGAGUGCGUCUUGAUUGUAUAACUGAAACAGUUCAGAAUACUCAAUGGACAGAGCUUUCUCAUGGAAGUAAUGCUCCUCCUUGACAUUCACCAUGAGGGACAAUCGAUCAGAAAUCUUGGUAAUGUUCAUGUACCAUUGAUGCAAUUCAUACAUUCUCAUUGGGAGGUUCUUGACCUUGUCUAGCUCGACCAAAGGUUGGCCCCGGACAUAUUUUCGUUUUAUUUCAUUCUCUGUAAGCACAGGCAUGGGCUCGAUCUCGAGUAGUUGUCCAACAGUGAUGUUGAGAACUUCAGCCUGCAUUAUAUGGUCCUUGGUUAUUACCACAUUGCCCACCUCAGGAACGUAAACUGUUUGCCCACAAUAACAUUGGGCGCGCGUACUAUCACGUGUUGUUGGCACAACAAGCGAGGGGAUCGAUUGCGCCGCCUGUUCUCCCAGCUGGGGAAUGGUUUUCCCGCAUUUUUUGACAGCUGCUUGUUGUUUGCUCGAUCCCGAGCUCGCCUCCUUACGUAGACGUUCUCGAUUUAACUUCCUGAUGUGGCGCUCAUAGUCUGUGUCAACAGGCUUGGGAGCUGGUGGUUGAGCCAUACGAAUGAAGUGGUCAAUCGUUUCCUCAGGCACUUUCUCCCUUGGCGGCGGUGGCGGUUUUGGUGCAAAAUGGGCUUCCACCUAGGCCUUCGAUAUGGCUGCGUUUUCCUCCUCGGACUUGUCAUAAGGCCUCUGCGAAAGAGGCGCGAGGCUUGGACCAUAUUUAUAUCGCUUGCCUUCGCCUGUACUUCCUGUACUUCCUGCUCCUGCUGCCGCUGGAAUUUUACUGCCAAUUCCGCUUGACUUGCUUCUAGGCCUUGAAGGCGUUCAUAGUCCCGCUUCCUCUGCUCCUCCUCCAUCUUCCUCUUCUUCUCCUCCGCAAUCUUCUUUAUCGCACGGGUUCUGUAGCCGGUGUUCCAGUCUGAAAACCCCUCAUACCACGGAAUAGCGCCCUUGCCUCGUGUUCUUCCCGGGUGUUCAGGAUUUCCCAGGGCACGCGUAAGCUCGUCGUUCUCUCUGUUGGGCUGGAACACCCCCGAUCGUGCCUCUUCUAUUGCAACAAGUAUCACAUCAUCGACUCCCUUCAGACUUGCCCUUGUCGAAACAUUGCCUGUCUUCAGGUCCAACUCCCGCCCAUGCGCAUAGAACCAAGUCCUGCACCUGGGGGGCCAGCUCUUAGUAACCGGAGUGACACCUGCAUCCUCCAUCUCUUUCUUAGACUUAUCCCACUUAGGCAUUGCCACCGCAUAGCCACCUGGCCCAGCUUAUGAAACUUAUCCUUUUUUUCGGCAUUCUUCUUGUUUAUUCUCGACCGUUCCUUAGCUAAUUCCGAAUCCUUGAAUUUCACGAAAUCGUCCCAAUGAGCAUGUUGGUUCUCUAGUGUUCCAUCGAAUACUGGAGUCUUCCUUCCUCCCUUGACGUACUUGUCCCAUUCACGAUUCUUGUGGUUCUUGAAUGCAACCGCCAUCUUCCUAAGAGCAGCGUCCUUGACUUUCUGCACAUCUGCUUCUGUGAAAUGAUCUGGUAGGGUGAAAUGUUCCAUGAGAGUAUCCCAAAGCAGAUCUUUUUGUCUUUUGUCGACAAAAGUAACAUCUGGACGUGGAGCAGCAUCCUUUUUGUCUUUUUGUCUUUUGUCUUUUUGUCUUUUGUCUUUUUGUCUUUUGUCUUUUGCUGGCUCUCUCCAUUCUUGAAGGAAGAUCGGGAGUUGGUCCUUCACAACAACUCCGCACUGACGAACGAACUUGUCCGCAAUCUUCUUAGGCGCUAAUGGUUCACCAUUAGGUCUGAUUGCCUCGAUAUUGUACUUUACGCCCUCCUUCAACUUUUUGUUCGGGCCUCGUUUCGUCCUUUUGCCUGAAGAUUUGCUCGAUCCGGAUGGCUGAAAGAACAAAGAUCGAUUCGUUAAUAUAUCUUCAAGUCAUUUAAAACAUGUGAUGAUCACCAGAUGCCUGCUUAUAUAAAUAUAUAUACCUCGCCGGUCUUUGUUGUUUCAAGAUCAACAUUUUCUUCGUCAUCAUCAUAAUCAUAGUUCAUGACUUCAUCAAUUCGGUCGUCGCGAUCGAAUAUCAUAUCACCCUCUCCGGUGUUGUUUAGAAAUUCGGAGCCGUCAUAAUCUUCUUCAUUCUGAUCAUCAUAUGGCCCGUGAGGAUGGCGUAUCAUAUCGAACAUGGCCUGUUCUCCCUCUCUGCCGAUAUUGUCCGCCAUAGCUUUUAUUUAACUAAUCCAAAAGAAAUAUAAAACAAUUUAGUAUUCAAAUUACAUCGUCUCGAAUAAUUGAUAUAAUCUCGAAUAUAUCGUCUCGAAUAAUAGAUAUAAUCUCGAAAACAUCGUCUCGAAUAAUAGAUAUAAUCUCGAAUACAUCGUCUCGAAUAAUAGAUAUAAUCUCGAAUACAUCGUCUCGAAUAAUAGAUAUAAUAUCGAAUACAUCACUGGCUAUGUAGCUAAUAAAGAUCGAAUACUACAGAAGAAUCUAGGACACUCGCGGUUCCUGCGGUGCGGGCGGUGGACACCCAAAGAGAAGGAACCCUCACAGGAUCAUAGCUGAAGUGAGAUCCCUGAAGAAACUGCCAGGUAUUGGAGAACAUGCCGCCCUCUAACGCAACCAUGUAGCGAUGGACGUGCUCGUCCUCCUCCCUGACACGGCGACGUACCACCUCCGGCUGGGCCGGCUCCCUCCGCGCCAAAACUGGCCCACGCGAACGCCACCAAACGAGAUCAGGGUCGACGACGGGACCCGGGGCCGGGUUCCUCAUCAAGCGGCACGCCCCUCCAGGCAGCACCUCCCAAUGCCAGCCCGGCGGAGCCCAGUCCCGGACAUGGGUCAGCCGGACGUCGUCGCGGACGUGUCGACGGCGAGGAUGCGGGUCGGGCAUCGUCGAGAACAAAUACUAGCUAUAUGCCCGCAAAAAGUAAUAUUUUUUUAAUGAUUGGAUUUUGAUAACUAAAAUUUCUAACAUUUCUAUAUAACUAACAUUUCUAUAACAUUUCUAACAAUGCUAUAUAUAACUAACAUUUCUAUAACAUUUCUAAUAUUUCUAUAACUAAAAAACAGAAAAAAUUAUAACAUUUCUAUAUAUAUAACUAACAUUUUUAUAACUAUUUCUAUAACUAAAAAACAGAAAAAUUUCUAACAAUUCUAACUUUUUUAUAACUAUUUCUAUAACUAAAAACAGAAAAAUUUCUAACAAUUCUAACAUUUCUAACUAUUCUAACAAUUCUAACAUUUCUAACUAUUCUAACAAUUCUAACAUUUCUAACUAUUUAUGAAAAACAGAAAAAUUUCUAACAAUUUCUAAAAAACAGAAAAAUUUCUAACUAUUUGUAUAACUAAAAAACAAAAAAUGUAUGNNNNNNNNNNNNNNNNNNNNNNNNNNNNNNNNNNNNNNNNNNNNNNNNNNNNNNNNNNNNNNNNNNNNNNNNNNNNNNNNNNNNNNNNNNNNNNNNNNNNNNNNNNNNNNNNNNNNNNNNNNNNNNNNNNNNNNNNNNNNNNNNNNNNNNNNNNNNNNNNNNNNNNNNNNNNNNNNNNNNNNNNNNNNNNNNNNNNNNNNNNNNNNNNNNNNNNNNNNNNNNNNNNNNNNNNNNNNNNNNNNNNNNNNNNNNNNNNNNNNNNNNNNNNNNNNNNNNNNNNNNNNNNNNNNNNNNNNNNNNNNNNNNNNNNNNGCCCCCCCUUUAGUACCGGUUUGUGCCACCACCCGGUACUAAAGGGGGUGCGCUGGCGCAGGUGCGGUGCGGCAAGUUUAGUCCCACCUCGCUAGCCGAGGGGCGACCGCACUGGUUUAUAAACCCCCGUGCGGUCGCUCUCUCGAGCUCCUCUCCAAAGCAGGCCUACUGGGCCUACGUGUUCUUUGCUGUCCUGUGGGCCCACUUGGCCUUUGCGGGCCUGCAUCCUGGCCCAACAACAGGCUGGGUUUCUAGUCGUAUGCAGGCCGCUCUGGCCUAGUAGGCGGGCUUUUUUAAUUUUUUUUGCUUUAUUUAUUUUUGUGUUUUUUUUUGUGUAUUUAGAGUUUCUUUGUGAAUAUUUUUGCUUUAGGUACAAAAAAUUACAAACUUUCUGUUAGUGCACAUAGUUUUCAAAUUUGAAUAGUUUAAAUUUUGAAUUAUUUGAAAUUAGUGUGAAUCAUUAGUUUGUGAAUAACUUAACUUUAAAAAUCAGUAAAGGCAUGAAAGAAUUUGUUUGCACAUAAAAUUUCUUCGCGUUUCAAAUGCCAAAACACAUAACUACCCUAACUAUUAUAGAGAUUCCUCUCUGGGUGUGAAACACAGAAGAAAGUGAUGAUAGUGAAGCCGAUCACAUCCCAGAUCUUUGGGUGUGAAACUUUUUCUUCGCGUGUGUCCCUUUGAGCCGUAACCAUGGAAAAUCUUCAUCAUUUAACGGGAUGCUCGGGUCAAUAUUCACUGUGAAUGGAGCAAUUUCAUCAAACUUUUCAUAAUCUUCUGACUUGUCUGUCUUGUCAUCCACUCCCACGAUGUUUCUCUUCCCAGAAAGAACUAUGUGCCGCUUUGGCUCAUCGUACGAUGCAUUCGCUUCCUUAUCUUUUCUUUUUCUUGGCUUGGUAGACAUGUCCUUCACAUAGAAAACCUGUGCCACAUCAUUGGCUAGGACGAAUGGUUCAUCUGCAUACGCAAGAUUGUUGAGAUCCACUGUUGUCAUUCCGUACUGCGGGUCUUCCGUUACCCCGCCUCGUGUCAUAUUGACCCAUUUGCACCGAAACAAAGGGACCUUUAAACCACGUCGAUAGUCAAGUUCCCAUAUGUCCUGUAUAUAACCAUAAUAUGUUUCCUUUCCCGUCUUGGUUUCUGCAUCAAAGCGGACACCACUGUUUUGGUUGGUGCUCUUCUUAUCUUGGGCGAUCGUGUAAAAUAUAUUACCAUUUAUCUCGUACCCUUUGAAAGUCAUUAUAUUCGAAGAUGGUAACUGGGACAGCAAGUACAUGUCAUCUUCAAUAGAGGUGUCAUGCAUGGUACGUGUCUGCAACCAGCUGGUGAAACUCCUGAUUUCUUCACGUGUAAUCCAGUCAUCAGACCGCUCCGGGUGUUUGGAGCGUAGCAAAUUCUUGUGUUCAUCCAUAUACGGAGCCACCAAGGCGGAAUUCUGUAGAACUAUAUAGUGUGCUUCAGUGAGAGAAUGUCCGUCCAUACAUAUUAUUUGUUCCCUUCCUAGCGUGCCUUUUCCAUCCAGUCUGCCCUUAUGCCGCGAUUCAGGAACACCAAUCGGCUUAAGGUCAGGAAUAAAGUCAAUACAAAACUCAAUGACCUCCUCAUUUUGAUGGCCCUUGGAGAUGCUUCCUUCUGGCCUAGCACGGUUAUGAACAUAUUUCUUUAAGACUCCCAUGAACCUCUCAAAGGGGAACAUAUUGUGUAGAAAUACAGGACCCAAAACGUUAAUCUCUUCGCAUAGGUGAACUAGGACGUGCGUCAUGAUGUUGAAGAAGGAUGGUGGGAGCACCAACUCGAAACUGACAAGACAUUGCACCAAAUCAUUCUGUAACCUUGGUAUGAUUUCUGGAUCGAUUACCUUCUGAGAGAUUGCAUUGAGAAAUGCACAUAGCUUCACAAUGGCUAAUCGAACGUUUUCCGAUAGAAGCCCCCUCAAUGCAACCGGAAGCAGUUGUGUCAUAAUCACGUGGCAGUCAUGAGACUUUAGGUUCUGGAACUUUUUCUCUGGCAUGUUUAUUAUUCCCUUUAUAUUCGACGAGAAGCCAGACGGUACCUUAAUACUGAGAGGCAUUCAAAGAAGAUUUCCUUCUCUUCUUUGGUAAGAGCGUAGCUUGCAUGACCCUGAUGUAUCCCGUCUUCUCCGUGCAUACGUUGCUGGUCCUCCCGUGCCUCAGGUGUAUCUUUUGUCUUCUCAUACACGCCCAAGAAGCCAAGCAGGGUCACGCAAAGAUUCUUCGUCACGUGCAUCACGUCGAUUGCGGAGAGGACCUCUAGGUCUUUCCAAUAUGGCAGGUCCCAAAAUAUAGAUUUCUUCUUCCACAUGGGUGCGCGUCCGUCAGCGUCCUUCGGAACAGGUUGUCCGCCAGGACCCUUUCCAAAUAUCACCUUCAAAUCCUUGACCAUAUCAUGUACAUCAGCACCAGUAUGGUGGCGAGGCUUCGUCCGGUGAUCCGCCUCACCUUUGAAAUGCUUGCCUUUCUUUCUUACGGGAUGCCUGCUCGGAAGAAAUCGACGAUGUCCCAGGUACACAUUCUUCUUACAACUAUUCAAAUAUAUACUGUCGGUAUCAUCCAAACAGUGCGUGCAUCCGCAGUAUCCCUUGUUUGUCUGUCCUGAAAGGUUACUGAGAGCAGGCCAAUCAUUGAUGGUCACGAACAGCAACGCCUUUAGGUCAAAUUCUUCCCCAUGUGCUCAUCCCACACAGGUACACCUGUUCCAUUCCAUAGUUGUAAGAGUUCUUCAACUAAUGGCCUUAGGUACACAUCAAUGUCGUUGCCUGGUUGCUUAGGGCCUUGGAUGAGCACUGGCAUCAUAAUGAACUUCCGCUUUAUGCACAACCAAGGAGGAAGGUUAUACAAACAUAGUCACAGGCCAGGUGCUAUGGUUGUUGCUCUGCUCCCCAAAAGGAUUAAUGCCAUCUGCGCUUAGACCAAACCAUACGCUCCUUGCGUCAUCUGCAAACUCCUUCCCGUACUUUCUUUCAAUUUUUCUCCACUGCGACCCGUCAGCGGGUACUCUCAACUUUCCGUCUUUCUUACGGUCUUCUCUAUGCCAUUGCAUCGCCUUGGCAUGCUCUUUGUUUUGGAACAAACAUUUCAAUCGUGGUAUUAUAGGAGAAUACCACAUCACCUUGGCAGGAAUCUUCUUGCUGGGGCGCUCGCCCUCGACAUCACCAGGGUCAUCGCGGCUUAUCUUAUAGCGCAAUGCACCACAUACCGGGCAAGCGUUCAAAUCCUCGUACUCACCGCGGUAGAGGAUGCAAUCAUUAGGGCAUGCAUGUAUCUUCUGCACCUCUAACCCUAGAGGGCAGACAACCUUCUUUGCUUCGUACGUACUCUCGGGCAAUUCGUUGUCCUUUGGAAGCAUAUCCUUUAUCAUUACCAGCAACUUUCCAAAUCCCUUGUUAGAUACACCAUUCUCUGCCUUCCGUUGCAGCAAGUCUAGUGUGGUGCCCAGCUUUUUCUUGUCACCUAUGCAAUUCGGGUACAACAAUUUUUUGUGAUCCUCUAACAUGCGCUGCAACUUCUUCUUCUCCAAAUCAUUUGUGCAGUUUCUCUUUGCAUCGGCAAUGGCCCGACCUAGAUCAUCAACGGGCUCAUCUGAUGCCUCUUCUUCAGCUUCUUCCCGCAUUGCCGGCUCAACUUCUUCCCGCAUUACCGGCUCAGCUUCUUCCCCCAUUGUUGUAUCAUUGUAUUCAGGGAACCCAUGGCCAGGAUAGCUGUCGUCGUCCUCUUCUUCUUCAUUGUCUUCCAUCAUAACACCUCUUUCUCCGUGCUUGGUCCAAACAUUAUAGUGGGGCAUGAAACCGGACUCAAACAGGUGGACGUGAAUGGUUCUUGACGUAGAGUAAUUGCGACCAUUCUUACAGCCAGCACAUGGACAAGGCAUAAAACCAUCCGCCCGCUUGUUUGCCUCAGCCGCAAGCAGAAAAGUAUGCACGCCCUCAACGAACUGGGGAGAGCAUCGGUCAUCGUACAUCCAUUGCCGACUCAUCUUCAUUACACAACACCGAAUAGACCAAAUUAAUACAAGUUCAUACAUAAAGUUCAUACAACACUUAAAUGCAACAAACAAAUAACUCUCUAGCUAAAGCAUUUAAAUGCAAGAACAAAUGCGAUCAAGAUCGCAACUAAGGUAACAAUUGAUCCAACAACAUAAUGAUACCAAGCCUCACUAUCGAUGACAUAUUUUCUAAUCUUUCUAAUCUUCAAGCGCAUUUUCUCCAUCUUGAUCUUGUGAUCAUCGACGACAUGCAACUCCAAUUCCAUCUUCUCCCCCUCAAUUCUUUUCAAUUUUUCUUUCAAGUACUUGUUUUCUCUUUCAACUAAAUUUAACCUCUCGACAAUAGGGUCGGUUGGAAUUUCCGGUUCACAUACCUCCUAGAUAAAAAUAUCUAUGUCAACUUGAUGGGCAUAAUUUGUCAUAAACAUGAAAUGCAACAAAUAGUUUUAAAAGAGAAUAUACCACAUCCGAAUCAUAAUAAGGACGAGGGCCGACGGGGACGGAUAUCAAAACCAUGGCACUAUGUAUAACAAACAACGUACGGGUAAGAUAAUUAUACGAGUAACUAUAUAUCCAAAUCACACAAACAUCAAUUUUUUAUAUAAAAUUUCAUGAACAAGAGGCUCACCACAAGGUGGUGCCGGCGACGGGACGGUGCGGGCGAUCGACGGUGGUUACGACGGAGAUUUAGAAGGCACUAAGUAAAACACACCUACAUAUGCAAACUAAGUGUUAUUUUGACCUCAAAUUGCAUAUAAAUCAAAUACUACCACAUAUAAUUCCUCCCAAAUUACUAAAACCCACAAUUAAUCACUAUAUAAACCAAUGCAAGAGCUAAUCUAGCAAUGAGAGAUGAAAGGACAAAGUUGCUAACCUUGGUGAUCAUUUGAAUGGAUGGGGGCCUGCAAAUCUUGACAAAUUUGGGGUAAAUUUUGUGAUGAACUCGAGAGGAAGAAGGGAAGAACAGAGGAGAGGGAGAGGGGAAAGGGGGAAGAACAGAGUGCGGGUGGACGAAGGGUUUAUAUAGGACGACCUUUAGUACCGGUUCGUGCCACGAACCGGUACUAAAGGUGCUGGAAGGGCCUCACUCUGACAACAUCCUGCCAUCAUUUUCUUUAGUACCGGUUCGUGGCACGAACCGGUGCUAAAGGUUCGCCACGAACCGGUACUAAAGAGCUCCUCCCGCCUAGCCGUUGGAACCGGCACUAAUGGACACAUUAGUGCCGGUUCUGUUACAAACCGGGACUAAUGUGUCUCACAUUUGACCCUUUUUCUACUAGUGCAGUUACCACAAGCUGCACUAUGUCCUUUCUGUUGCACUGGCGAGUGAGCAGCCGCCGUUCACGUCAUAGGCGUUGUCACAGACUAAUCUUUUUGCUGGUUGGAUAUAAAGAUUUGUUUGGAAGAUUUGUGCUGCUGCUGCUUAUUUAAAAUUUGAUUAUUCUUUGACUAUUUGUUUUUUUUUUGAGUAGUAAUACCAACAUCUUGGGUCCGCAUCAGUCUACUAAAAUCAAGUCAUCCACUCAUGUUGUUUGUGCAGAUCUUUGUUUUCUCAUCUCAACAAGGUAGAUGAUGAAUAUUCAAACUGGCUGUAAGUGAGGUGGACCAAUGUAAACUGGCUAAAAAUAUAUUUUACGAGUGUGAUUUCUGUAACCAUACAUGUUAAUGUACAUAACAUGUUAGAGAUCUCCUUUCUCAUUGUAAGUUGUUUUAUACACAAUAAGUUUGUACAAUAUGUAGCCUUCCAAUCAGAGAUGUAUGAAUUUUAAGCUAAGUGAGGCUCUUUCAAUCUCCACACAUGAGUCUUGAGAUUGCUUUCUCCUCAGAGAGCUUGAGGACUAAUCAUAAUAAAUU